GCUGGCUAUGGUGGCGCAUACCUGUAAUCUUAAUGACUCAGGAGGCUGAGGUAGGAGAUCUCAAUUUUGAGGCCAGCCUCAGCAAUUUAGAAAAACCCUUUCUCAA
RNAcentral lists this small RNA (106 nucleotides) under Marmota monax (woodchuck). The record is from RNAcentral. Lineage: Eukaryota; Metazoa; Chordata; Mammalia; Rodentia; Sciuridae.